UCAGGAGAACAUAUGACGGUGGAAGGCCAGGAACACCAAAAGACAGACAUACCUUCCCAGCUGUACAUCAGCACAGACAUUUUGAAAUGGGCUCUGGAAUCAGCAGCACAGGAAAGGGAUCAGCAAGCUAUCAUGUUCGGGGUUUCCAGCAGUGCUAGGCAGAUGGAUGAUCAGACUUUGGUAUGCACUGAAGCUACAUACUCCACAAGGCUCUACAUGUGAACGUGCCAACAAUGAAGCCCUUUACCAUGCCUACAACCAGCAAUGCAGGCACAAAUCUUGACAACUGCAGAUGUACUCAUUUUUUGGCCUACUGCUUACUGGGGCCCCAAUACAUGUAUGGGAAUCCUAAAGGAGACUAACAUCACAUUUGACUCAUUGCUACCUUGGAAGAGGCAAACCUUGAUUUAGUUGAAGUUUCAAAAUGAUGGUUUGUGAUCCAGCUGCUAAUUCCCACGGAAUUCCCAUGGAUUCACCACGGAAUCACGAUGGUAAUGAAACCAAAACAGCAAAGGAAAAAGAUUAAAAUGAAAAGAGAAGACUUAAAAAUAGGAUAACUAAAAAGACAAUUUGAAAUGGGUCUGUGAGAGCUGGACACCCUCACCAAAUAAUGAAAUAAACGUGCAAUCCACUGCCUCACCCUUUUGCCCUACCCAGGAAAGAGCAAAGCAAUAUGCAGCGCAGUUCUUGAGCCGAGCUGUCCUGAACACCAACAGAAGCUACUAUGGAGAAACAGCAUUAUUGUUAAUUCUUGUUAAUUAUUGUCUUCCUAUCAUCUAAGUACUGAUGAUGAUAAUCAGCUGACUACUCAAUAUGUACCCACAACACGGCUUGCUUGCUCUUUUUGGUUACUCACUACAAUCACAAAGGAGUAGUGUGUCAAGAUGACCCUAAGUGAAGGUACAAGGAGGGUCUAAGAAAUUCCUCAAGAUGAACAGCAAACCUGAUUUGUUUAGGACAGUGACACAGUAACAGAAAAUCGCAUGACAACUGGAGCAUAGCCACAAAUCCCUGAGAUUUCGCACAGCUACCAAAAUCACACUGCAACUAGCAGAAAAAGCCAUACCAAGCAGUGGAGAGAUCAGAAAGCUACUCAAGAACAGGCAGCAAUAGGAGACCAAUAUAUCUCAGAAGUCACAAGCUCACGCUGCCACGAGCAGAACACUCUUUGCAGGGCAUGUCUGCAUUAUAGACAGGAACCAGUCUGUGAAGUAUGAUAUUACUAGAAAGAACUCCUGGAUUUUACUGGGGCAGAUUCAAUUACAAAAAGCUGACCGUAAAACGAGUAGAUGUCCUGACUAAACUGAUACGCGUCGUACCAACGCUUUUCCUGGAAAGCUGGACGACAUUCGUGUAUUCUUAUUUAUUUAUUUAUUUUCAAGAAGUUUGGGGACACUAUCUUUGCGAAAAGGAAUGUUCUGUGCCUCGUCCAAACCAGCAAAGGGCCAAGCAGCAGCGUAUUGUAGAAGGGGUUAUCUGGAGUCAGGCAAUCCAGUUGAGGCAUGUCCACCCAGGUCGGAUGACACAUCAAUCUAAAGGGGACACGAGCAAGGCUAUUAGUUCAUGGCUCUUGGCCUGAAUUUUACUGACAGGUGGCUAGAAAUAAUGUAAGGCCUAUAUUAUUUUUCCAAGUAUAGUGGCGAGUGCCAGGACACAACCGAAGAAAAGAUGCUUAUGCAACUCCUAAAAGGGAUUAUGCAGCUGCUAUAAAAUCUUUGAGGGAACUGGCAGAUAUGGUUAGAACAGCCUUCUCUUGGAGAUGGGUAGCUGGCAGGGUUAGAAUCAUUAGUGAAAGUGGAUAUGAUUGAGAAAUUCUGUGAUAUGUGUGCAGCCUGCAGUGAUUGCUGUCCACAAAAAGCAGCAGUGGUUCACAUACAAGACCUGUAUUUACAUUAAAAUGAGUAAGACUGGGACUUUACACAGUGGUGAGCUAACAAACGAGCUCACCGCUUGCCAUGGGAACGGGCUAAGGUUCCACACAGCCAAGACCAACAUCUCUGCUGGCUCCUCUAACACUGCCCUGCCUUCCUAGGCCCUCCUGAUGCAUCCAUGACUCGUCUCCUCUUCAUCUGGCCACACCAGCAUUCCUGGACCCUCCAACAGAAAGCUUUUAGAUGUGUAACCCAGCAGAAAAGUAUCUUUUCUCUUUGUUGGUGUCGGAUGAGAAUCCUGCUGGAUGGGUACCAUCACUCAGGCCCAGGCCAAAAACCGAGGAGGGCAGCUGAACAUUAUCCACCUACAAGAGGGAUUCCCCAGGGAAACUGCACAUCACUUAUUCUCAAGCCAGCUGCUGCAGGGUUGCUAUAAAAGGAAACCUGCUCUCUGAAGAACUGCAAAGGAGGUAAACACAUUGCUUUCCUGGAAUAGCUUUGGGAUGCCAAAAGAAUGAAUGAAGUCAGUGAGAACUUCCGCCUAUGUGCGUUACACAGGAUUAAGCUUCAGGUAUGUUUCAGGAGGCCACUCCAAGAAUGGGUGACUCACAAGACUUGUACCAAACAGCCAUUGCCAUCAGUCACGGACAGCUUUUUCUCAGCAAAACCUGGGAAGUAGUUUGAACUCCAUCUACAAGUGACAGAAGAAGUGGACAAUAAAGCAUAAAUUGAAACUCAGAAGACUAAAGAUCCUUUCACAUUUUUAUUUUCCACCAAGAGUAACAGGGCAGUAGUACGAGUAAUAAAACAUGUUAAUUGGCAAAACCACAGGAGCUUACUUGACUUCAGGAGGGAGCAGCAUGUUUCUCUUCUGGAACUUAGAGGAACAUUUAGAAACCAACGAAUGCAGAGAAAGAGAUCAGAAAAUCAAGUAACACUCAGAGAAAGUGAGAAAAAUGCCAACUUCCUUCUCCUAGUUACUUUUCCGUACAUUUCUUGCUUACAUUGUCAGCUCAUCGAGUGGACAACUUUUUUUCCAAGAUGAAAAUUUUGAUUGAAAACAGAUUACCUGCAACACUCACUAUACUUUUAACUGCAAAGAAUUAGAAGCAGGAGAAAAAAACACACCUUAAUUUCAUAGGUUUGCUUCUGGUGUAUGAAACAGCCCAGAUGCCAACUGCUAAAAAUGCACUGUCCUGUUUGCCUAAGGUUAAGAGCAGAGCCCCCUGAGAACCAAAACUCGUGUUGAGGUUUGGAAGGCUGGUACUGGGAGAAUAUGGCAAUUCCUUCAUAGCUCCUCACCUUUGUGUACAGCCUCCACAAACUCUUUUUUGAAGUUUGCCCGUACUUUUUUGAAGUACACUCCCUCUUCUUUCCUCUAGUUUUUCUUUUCCUGCGUCUCUGUGUUUUGUUUCUGGCUGGAACUGGCAGUGGAAUUGCUGAACAACAGAAGCUGAUCCAACUGUAUUGCUGACUCAAUCCUGAGAGCCUGUUCUCAUCAGAUUUCACUGCAGCAUUCCAGAUUUCAGUACCCAAAAAAUUCAGAUAGUUAUCUAAACCAAACUUCCUGAGGGUGAACUAUCCCCAGUGCUAAGACAGCAAGAGCAGGGCCGACACACACUUGAACGAGAUUCCAUCAGAGCACAGGAGACAGCAUGCCAACUACGCUUAAAGCAAUAUCUACCUACAUAAUUUCAACUCAGUCUGACUUGGUAAAUUACUGAGUUAAUUGCCUUGGUAUUCAUAUUUACAUUCAAAAAAGGAUACACAGAUCUGAGGUCAAAUCAUUAAGC
Molecule: long non-coding RNA, 3664 nt
Organism: Anas platyrhynchos (mallard)
Lineage: Eukaryota; Metazoa; Chordata; Aves; Anseriformes; Anatidae
Source: RefSeq, a predicted model, not a curated record